This 1099-nucleotide ribosomal RNA is filed under the name uncultured bacterium. RNAcentral's name for it is "bacterial SSU rRNA". It matches the Rfam family "Bacterial small subunit ribosomal RNA", at positions 8 to 1137 of the family's 1533-position model. The record is from RNAcentral.
AGAGUUUGAUCCUGGCUCAGGACGAACGCUGGCGGCGUGCCUAACACAUGCAAGUCGAACGAAGUCUUCGGACUUAGUGGCGGACGGGUGAGUAACGCGUGAGAACCUGCCUCGAGGAGGGGGAUAACAGCGGGAAACUGCUGCUAAUACCCCAUAUGCCGAAAGGUGAAAAGAAAUUUGCCUUGAGAGGGGCUCGCGUCCGAUUAGCUAGUUGGUGAGGUAAGAGCUUACCAAGGCGACGAUCGGUAGCUGGUCUGAGAGGAUGAGCAGCCACACUGGGACUGAGACACGGCCCAGACUCCUACGGGAGGCAGCAGUAGGGAAUUUUCCGCAAUGGGCGAAAGCCUGACGGAGCAACGCCGCGUGGGGGAAGAAGGCCUUUGGGUUGUAAACUCCUUUUCUCAGGGAAGAAGAACUGACGGUACCUGAGGAAUCAGCCUCGGCUAACUCCGUGCCAGCAGCCGCGGUAAUACGGAGGAGGCAAGCGUUAUCCGGAAUUAUUGGGCGUAAAGCGUUCGUAGGCGGCGUUUCAAGUCUGCUGUCAAAGGCCGAGGCUCAACUUCGGAAAGGCAGUGGAAACUGAAAAGCUAGAGGUCGGUAGGGGCAGAGGGAAUUCCCAGUGUAGCGGUGAAAUGCGUAGAUAUUGGGAAGAACACCGGUGGCGAAAGCGCUCUGCUGGGCCGAACCUGACGCUGAGGGACGAAAGCUAGGGGAGCGAAUGGGAUUAGAUACCCCAGUAGUCCUAGCCGUAAACGAUGGAGACUAGGUGUUGCCUGUAUCGACCCGGGCAGUGCCGAAGCCAACGCGUUAAGUCUCCCGCCUGGGGAGUACGCACGCAAGUGUGAAACUCAAAGGAAUUGACGGGGGGCCCGCACAAGCGGUGGAGUAUGUGGUUUAAUUCGAUGCAACGCGAAGAACCUUACCAGGGCUUGACAUCCCCGCGAAUCUCCGCCGAAAGUUGAGAGUGCCUACGGGGAACGCGGAAGACAGGUGGUUGCAUGGGUGGCCGUCAGCUCCUUGUCCUGGAGAUGUUGGGGUUAAGUCCCCGCAACGAAGCGCAACCCUUCGUCCUUAAGUUGCCAUCCUUUAGGUGGGGGCA